RNAcentral lists this ribosomal RNA (471 nucleotides) under uncultured bacterium. RNAcentral's name for it is "bacterial SSU rRNA". It matches the Rfam family "Bacterial small subunit ribosomal RNA", at positions 33 to 518 of the family's 1533-position model. The record is from RNAcentral.
GACGCUGGCGGCGUGCUUAACACAUGCAAGUCGAGCGAUGAAGCUUCUUCGGAAGUGGAUUAGCGGCGGACGGGUGAGUAACACGUGGGUAACCUGCCUCAUAGAGGGGAAUAGCCUUCCGAAAGGAAGAUUAAUAUCGCAUAAGAUUGUAAUAUCGCAUGAUAUAGCAAUUAAAGGAGUAAUCCGCUAUGAGAUGGACCCGCGUCGCAUUAGCUAGUUGGUGAGGUAACGGCUCACCAAGGCGACGAUGCGUAGCCGACCUGAGAGGGUGAUCGGCCACAUUGGGACUGAGACACGGCCCAGACUCCUACGGGAGGCAGCAGUGGGGAAUAUUGCACAAUGGGGGAAACCCUGAUGCAGCAAACCGCCGCGUGAGUGAUGACGGUCUUCGGAUUGUAAAGCUCUGUCUUCAGGGACGAUAAUGACGGUACCUGAGGAGGAAGCCACGGCUAACUACGUGCCAGCAGCUGC